This 253-nucleotide ribosomal RNA is filed under the name uncultured bacterium. RNAcentral's name for it is "partial 16S ribosomal RNA". It matches the Rfam family "Bacterial small subunit ribosomal RNA", at positions 524 to 776 of the family's 1533-position model. The record is from RNAcentral.
UACAGAGACUCCAAGCAUUUACCGGAUUUAUUGGGUGUAAAGGGUCCGCAGGCGGCUUUGCGCGUCGUUGGUUAAAUUUCAGGGCUCAACCCUGAAACCGCCAAUGAUACGGCAGAGCUAGAACAUGGGAGAGGCGCGUAGAAUUUCCGGUGUAGUAGUAAAAUGCGUUAAUAUCGGAAAGAAUGCCAAAUGUGAAGACAGCGCGCUAGAACAUUGUUGACGCUCAGGGACGAAAGCGUGGGGAGCGAAAGGG